CAGUGCUUUGACAGCUUGUCUCCAUGGCAGUGGUCAGCUGGCAAGACUGAUAAAAAAGGCCCUUUUCACAGGCUGGCCCUGCCGGGUGCUGCGUCAGGCAGAGCAGCUGCUGCGUCAGGCAGCAAAGAGGCAAAAUGGCUCUUGCUCUCCUCUUGGCAGCGAUCCUGGGACUUCUGAUUGUAAAGGCUGUUUUGCUUCAGCUGAGAAACCCGAGCUCCCCUCCUUGCAUCAGGAGCUGGAUCCCUUGGUUUGGAGCCACGUUUCAGUUCGGGAAAGCUCCUCUGGAGUUUAUAGAGCAAGCCAGAAGCAAGCAUGGGCCUGUGUUCACAAUAUUCGCUUUGGGAAAACGAUUCACUUUCGUGACCGAGGAAGAAGGAGCUGAAGCAUUUUUUACAUCUAAAGACUUAAAUUUUGAACAGGCGGUACAACAAGCUGUUGAGAAUGCAGUUUCUGUCCCUGCAGAAGCAUUUUACCAGAACCACGGGAACCUCUACAGCAUGAUGAAAGGAAAAAUGGCUCCUUCUAAUCUGCACGUGUUCACGGGCACUUUAUGUGAGGAGCUACAUGAGCACAUGGCACAGCUGGGCACGGAGGGCAUAGGCGACCUCAAUGACCUGGUAAGGCAUAUCAUGUAUCCAGCAGUGGUGAACACUUUGUUUGGGAAAGGCAUCUGCCCGACAAGUCAGACUGAAAUCAAGGAGUUUGAAGAACAUUUUCAGAAGUACGAUGAGGACUUUGAAUAUGCAUCUCAGAUGCCUGAGUGCUUCCUGAGGAACUGGUCUAAAUCCAAAAAAUGGCUUCUAAAAUUAUUUGAGAAAGUAGUGUCAGAUGCUGAGAGGACCAACCCUUCAGAGACCGCAUCCAAGACGCUACUGCAACAUCUCCUGGAUUGCUUGCAAGAAAAACAUCUGGCUCCCAGUUAUGGUCUCCUAAUGCUCUGGGCUUCCCAAGCAAAUGCUGUCCCCAUUGCAUUCUGGACCCUUGUUUUCAUACUCUCUCAUCCUUCCAUUUACAAGAAAAUCAUGGAAGACCUGGCUUCUGUUUUUGGCAAAGCAGGUAAAGGUAAAAUAGAAGUCUCUGAAGAGGACCUUAAGAAGCUCCCUUUUAUUAAAUGGUGCACUUUGGAAGCCAUACGGCUGAGGUCUCCAGGUGCAAUCACCAAGAAAGUAGUAAAUCCAAUAAAAAUUCAGAAUUUCACCGUCCCUGCAGGUGACAUGCUGAUGUUGUCGCCGUAUUGGUUGCACAGGAAUCCCAAAUAUUUUCCUGACCCAGAGAUGUUCAAACCUGAUCGUUGGAAAGAGGCAAAUUUAGAGAAGAAUGUUUUCUUGGACAGCUUUGUGGCAUUUGGAGGAGGGAAGCAUCAGUGUCCAGGAAGGUGGUUUGCCAUCAUGGAAAUCCAGUUGUUUGUUGUGCUGUUCCUGUACAAAUACCAAUUUGUCCUUUUGGAUGCAGUACCAAAGGAGAGCCCUUUACAUUUGGUGGGGACACAGCAACCCAUGGCACCAUUCCGGGUCCAGUAUAAAUGCCGGGAUUGAAAGCUGCCCAGCAUUAACUUACCUUCCUUUGCCAGACACCCUGGGAUGGCUGGACCACUGAGCUGCUUCCCUACCCCACACCUUCAAAUAGAAUCAUAGAAUCGUUUUGGUUAAAAGUGACCCUUAAGAUCAUCGAGUCCAACCGUAACCGAACUCUGGCACUAAACCACGUCCCUAAGAAAUUCAUCUACGCGUCUUUUAAACCCUCCAGGGAUGGUGACUCCACCACUGCCCUGGGCAGCCUGUUCCAAUGUCUGACAACCCUUUCUGUGAAGAAAUGUUUCCUAAUAUCUAAUCUGAACCUUCCCUGGUGCAAUUUGCGGCCGUUUCCUCUCAUCCUGUCACUUGCUACUUGGGAGAAGAGACCAACCCCCUUCCAUGCUACAACCUCCUUUCAGGUAGUUGUAGACAGUGAUAAGGUCUCCCCUCAGCCUCCUGUUCUCCAGGCUGAACAGCCCCAGGUCCCUCAGCUGCUCCUCAUCACACUUGUGCUCCAGACCAGCAUUGUCACCCUCCUCUGAACUCUGUCCAGCACCUCCAGACAGGUUCUUAGCAGUUCUUAAUUUCACCUUUAAAUGCUGUACACUCUCUGUGUUGUGGUUUGCCAUACCAGUGUGGUCGUACCUGUGCUCCUCACCCGAUUGCCUGCCUCCUAAUAUUUAAGAAUCCUGGUGAUUUGUCAGUCAGAUUCUUCAAAGACUUUGCAAAUCCAAUAUACUAAACUUACCAAACAUACAUUCAGGACAAAAAGCUGCUACGUUUGGAAAUCCUGCAUGGAAAUUGUGUGAGAAGCAGUGGGAAAGCAGAUCCCUUGGCCCAGGUCACUGCGUCCCGCAGGUCUCUUCUUCAAACCAAAGCCAAAGUGGUGCCUGGUGGUAAGAAAUCUGCUCGGUCACUCCAUAGGCUCCCUCGUGCUGGUGUGUGCAAAACAUGUGACAGUGCUGAGCAGAGGCCUCCCGAUCAGACCGCAGCCACGAUAAACAAGCAUCACCCGUGUAUCACAGCCUGGGUCGGUAGGUGAAGAUCUGACCUGCCCUGCCUACAACCAGUGCAUCUUUUUUGCAAAUAAAAUGCUUUUGUAAAGGAAAAAUGUCAAGCAUGGGAAACACUGGUGUCUUGUUCCAUUGGAGCACCCUGCUCUGCAGGGUUCAGAAUUGGCCCUUGCAUGAAUAUGCGAUGCGAGUUUGAUUGUGAUGUUUGGCUACUAAUGAAAAGCGACUGCGAGAGAAGCUGUUGCUAUUUAUUAGACUACUUGUCUGAUAUCUAGAACAUUGUCCCCUUUAACAUGACUGACACAGAACAAAUUGCACAAAUCUAAAAAUAUUAAAUCCUAUAAAGAAUACCUAGUAAAAGUUGUUCAAAGAAGCUGUUGAAUAAGUUCAGAUACCAACACUUUAACUGCUGUCAGAUUUCAUAAACGAUAAUACUUGGCGUGUAUUUUUAGUCUUUUAAGUAGAGAUUAUUCAUCAUUUUAGAAGCAUUUGCAAAAAACACAAAUGGACUUUCAACAACAGUAAAAACCAUGAGAAUAACAUCCAUCGGAAAAUAACCCGUUGUAUAAUUCGUUAGAUGGUUGGCUUACCUCAGUUAUGGAUGCAACAGUUUUACAAACUUCAGCGAUUUAUGUGGCUGGAAAAUGAUUCAUACAAGUUUCUAAUUUAGCUCUUCAUGGUCAAUUCUGCAGAAGUUGCACUCUUACUGCUGUUUCAGAGUAUCUUCCAUAACGAAAAACUAUUCCUUUGAUUUUUAUGUGUGGUCAUUACCCUGAAGUCUAUAUUUUACAAUUUGGAAAUGCCCACAGUAUCCAUUCAGGUAUCUGGUAGUUUUGUCUAGUAUAUAUAUAUAUGUAUGUAUAUAUAUUAUUUUUUUUUCCCCCAAUGUGCAUUUAUUUCUGUUUUUCUGUUUAAUUCAUUUUGGGGUUGGGUUGGUUUUUUUGGUGUGUGUGUGUGGUUUUGUUUUGAUUUUUUUUUCCAAGUGAGGUAACUCAAAAAAGCAAAAUUGUGUAACUAAACCUAACUAAAAAGGUCCCUAAAGGGAAGUAUAACCUGAAGGUCAGCAUCAGUUUGGUUAGUAUGAAUAAAAGAUAUCUGAAGCCACCUGUGAAGAUUUACAAACACCCCGUUGCACAGGGGUUCUGUACUGUCCUGAAUACAGUCACAGCUCUGGUGUAGUUUCUGCAUUUUGCUGAGUUUUUCAGACUUGGUGUGGUCUUGUGCCUACUAAGAACUACAUUUUUCUUCCUUCCACAUCCCACAAGAACAGUGUGUGGGCAGUGUAUGGGAUGAAAACCAUAUUUCCCCCUCCACAGAGGAGCGAACGCAGGCAGGGACUGUGCGCAAUGUCCUGCCCAACACCUCCUUGCACAAGACUUUAUAGGGGGUGUUAGGGGAGGAACCAAAGGUGCAGAAAGGGAGGGGUCAAGGUGGGUUGGGGAGGAACAAAUGUGGAAAAAAAGAGAGGGAUAAGGGGUUUUAAACUAAAGGAAGGGAGAUUCAGGGUAGACAUGAGGAAGAAAUUGUUUAUACUGAGGGUGGUGAAACACUGGCCCAGGUUGCCCAGAGAAGUGGUGGAUGCCCCAUCCAUGGAGACAUCCCAGGCCAGGCUGGACGGGGCUCUGAGCAACCUGGUCUGGGUGAAGAUGUCCCUGCUCAUGGCAGGGGUGGCACUGGAUGAGCUUUGAAGGUCCCUUCCAACCCAAACUAUUCUAUGAUUCUUUGGUUCAUCACCAACAGUCCGGCUGUUGCUGCUCCUUGUGCGGCUUCAAUUUUGUCCUGAAGAGUUAAUCAAAGCGAGAGAAAAGGUGAUUUAUGAAGGACAUGUUGGGAAGUGCAGAAGAGGCUCCAGCUGUGUCGUUGGGUCUGUCGUCACCAACUCCCUGUUGUUGGGUCCAUCUUCUUGAAGUGGCUUCAGCAGCUCACAGGGGUUGAGUCCCUCCGAAUUUUUCUGCCCGAUGGUGAGAUCCGCGGUCAGGUUGGUGGUACGGACAGACCUACUGGAGCAGCUCGCUGAAGUGAAGGCAACAUCUGUCCCAGAGCUGGAACAAGCUUCCUAGGGAAGAGGUCAUUUAAAUAGGUUAUUAUGGAUAUAUAUAUAUAUAUGGAUAUAUAUAUGGUAAAAGAGCAUUCAGAUCGCCUCCUCUGCGGAAUCUUUACUAAAUUUACUUGUGUUCAUUCUUUGGUGGUGAACAUUCUAGCACUAAACAUUUAGCCAUUCUCUCACAUACUAGUACGAAUUUAACACCCUUGUGUUUCCUGGAUUACCCUCUGCCCAAGUAAUCGUAUUUAGUUCUGGUUUGCCAAAAAAGCAAAAUGAGAUACGGAUUAAAGUCCCAGAUUUUAUACUUAUUUAUACUCAUCCUCAUGCAAUGCUCACAGAUAAAUAGUUAUGCUAGGUAAAACAAAUAAAAUACAAUUUAAAACCAAGCCAAACAAACAGAAACACACAAAUCCCAAACCACCAAACGCUGCUUUUCCUGCUUCAGCAUCUCCCCUGGGCCAGCACAGCAGCUUUCAGAUAUUCUGGACUCCUCUUAAAAAGGAGAUAUUUUUUUCUAAUGUGAGCUGUGCUCUUUUUUAAAAAGGUUGAAGUGUUGUAAAAGCUCUUUCCCAAAUGUCUAUUUGAAGCAUCGAGUGUAUUUGCUUUGGCUUGGCGGGGAGCUUGCCCGGUUAGAGGUAGAACCCGCGAUGCCUCCGGUGCAGAGAUGCUCAGAAAGCAUUACAAAAUAAACUUAAUUUGCCUUUUGUCAAUUUGUUCAGUCGCUACACAGAUCUUCUGGGGCUAUAGCAAGAGUUAUACAUGGAUCCUUUUACUACAGGACUGUGUAGCGAUGCAGGAGCUACCGAGAUCAGGAUUGGGGACAUUUGUUAGUGAGAUUGUUGCUGGGAAAGCUGUGAAGUGUCAGAAGCCUCAAAGUUACUGAAAAAUGAAGAUAUUCAGAACCUUAAGACAAACUUGAGGAUUUAAAACCAUGUCAUUGAGCGCUGGAUUAAGAAGGGCCUGUCUGCUGUCCCAUAGUCAGGUGCUUCCUCACCCACCUCGGUAAGAGGAUCCAGCAAGAAGGAUUAAACUUCUCUAUUAUUAUACACCAGAAAAUCAGCCUUGUUUUAAGGAAUUAUUGUAACCGAUCGUUUACCUCGUACGAGGAAGUUGUGUCUCCAUUAGUUGUCACACAGAUGUGUUCUCCUCACUAUUCGGUGAACGAAGGUAUAUGUUUUGAAUCCAUUUUAGAGCAGAAUUCUUGUUCAGAACCUUCUGAACGAAACACCAUCUGUAACGACUGACGGAUCCUUCAGUGUCCACUUGGCAAGUUGUCCUGCUGUGGGUAGCUGCAGAAAUAUUUCAUGUAUGUUGUUGUAGACUGAAAAACAUUACUCAUGUUUUCAUUCGAGUGUCUGCAUUUCUGACACAGAUGUGACAUAUCUGUAUAUACUAUAAAAUCAAUACUAUUUUUAACCACAUAUUUUGUACAAAUAUUCACAUUAGCUCUGUACUUCAGUGAGAAUCUAUUAUGGUAUUAAACAUUUUGGUGGAAUUAGCAAA
RNA transcript from Columba livia (rock pigeon), 6074 nucleotides. It is a transcript of the gene named 24-hydroxycholesterol 7-alpha-hydroxylase, with no coding region annotated. The transcript has 13 exons. NCBI's taxonomy places the organism in Eukaryota, Metazoa, Chordata, Aves, Columbiformes, Columbidae. The record is from RefSeq and is a predicted model, not a curated record.